RNAcentral lists this microRNA (22 nucleotides) under Ornithorhynchus anatinus (platypus). RNAcentral describes it as "oan-miR-1421g-1-3p". Lineage: Eukaryota; Metazoa; Chordata; Mammalia; Monotremata; Ornithorhynchidae. The record is from miRBase by way of RNAcentral.
UGCGUUGCGUGCGACUUCCCUU